AGUAACAAAAAAGAGAUAAAUAUUAUACCACGAAAGAAAGUGAGCUAAAUAUAUAUAGUUGCAUUGCAUACGUAGCAUAGUAUGUAUAAAAUACGUAUUUAGGAGUGAUAGGCUUUUCAAGCGUUCUUAUAACUUGCUCCAUAUGAAAAGUAUUAAGUACCUGAACAGAUUUAAAAAGUUAAGCUUUUAAAUAAGUAUUAAGAACAUUAUUUCCCUGUAGUGUAGUAUAAUAACUGUCUACGUAGGAACUUAACAUAAAGUAUGUUAAUUUAUAUUUUAUAGUAUGGCAAUAACAAUUUCGUUACUAUUUGAUAAUGUUAUUAUUAGUAAUAUUAAUGUAUAUGCUAAAGGAACUCGGCAAAUAACCACUCAACUGUUUAUCAAAAACAUAGCUAUAUGGAUUAAUAUAUAGUUAUUUCUGCUCAAUGAUUUUAAAUAGCCGCAGUACUCUGACUGUGCAAAGGUAGCAUAAUCAGUUGGCUUUUAAUUGGAGUCUGGCAUGAAUGAAAAUAUGGGUAGUAACUGUCUUAGCAUAUUAUUUGAACUUAUUAAACAAGUGCAAAUGCUUGUAAUUACACAAUAGACGAGAAGACCCUAGAAACUUGAAUUGAUUUUUGUUGGGGCGACAGAAUUACAUUUAACUAAUUUUUAUUACAUGACGCAAGGUUGAAAGAAUAAGUUACUCUAGGGAUAACAGCAUAAUUUUAGUAGUUUGUGACCUCGAUGUUGGACUAGGUAUUAUACCCUUAAGACAAGGGUAUACCAUGCUCUGUUCGAGCAAGAUUACCUACAUGAUCUGAGUUCAGACCGG
RNAcentral lists this ribosomal RNA (811 nucleotides) under Helix pomatia (Roman snail). RNAcentral's name for it is "partial large subunit ribosomal RNA". The stretch from base 371 to 514 matches the Rfam family "Archaeal large subunit ribosomal RNA", at positions 1889 to 2083 of the family's 2987-position model. Lineage: Eukaryota; Metazoa; Mollusca; Gastropoda; Stylommatophora; Helicidae. The record is from RNAcentral.